RNAcentral lists this long non-coding RNA (359 nucleotides) under Rattus norvegicus (Norway rat). RNAcentral describes it as "long non-coding RNA NONRATT000187". The record is from RNAcentral. Lineage: Eukaryota; Metazoa; Chordata; Mammalia; Rodentia; Muridae.
GUGUUGGCUGACUUACAGCUUCUCUAAAGUAGAGGCAGUUUCUGAACCCUAGGUUCCUGCCUCGCAGUUCUGGCUAGUGAGCACCAAUGCAAAGAGCUGCCCGGAGCGAGACAAAACCAGCAAAAUACAGGUCUAAGCCAUGACUCUUCCACCCGUCAAGCCACCCUUAAUGGAUGGAUGGCUGUGAUGAACCAUAGAGGCAGAGACGGUUUCCUGAGCCCCGGAUCUUUCUCCCUUCUGGAACUAUUCCGCCAUACGUACUUGUCUCUUGAGAAUCCCCGCAUCAUGGACCUCAUCGGGCUGCUGAAGUCCCAGUUUCUGUGUCACCUGGUCUUCUGCUACGUGUUCAUCGCCUCCGG